This is a long non-coding RNA of Gallus gallus (chicken), 2173 nucleotides long. RefSeq lists it as uncharacterized. The transcript has 3 exons. The record is from RefSeq and is a predicted model, not a curated record. NCBI's taxonomy places the organism in Eukaryota, Metazoa, Chordata, Aves, Galliformes, Phasianidae.
GGUGGCGCAGCAGCACUUCCUUCCUAACAGGACUUGGGGUCCCGGUGCUGCUUCCUGCUGUGGGGCACCUCCCUGCUCCCGCGGGGGUAGGGGUGCCUGGGGACACGGCAUCCUGGGGGCAGCUGCACCUUGCCUGCCCUCCUCCACCGGCAGUGAAGGUGCAGCGAUGCAGCUGGCUUCUGCUGGAGGUUGUGAGCAAGAAACGCCAGAAGCUGCCCAACAGCGUGAAGCUCUCCGUUCCGGAGAAGCCGUAGGGAGGAUGACGGCAACGACGGAUGUUAAUGAAGAGCAGCCUGCAGAGGAAAAAAGAAAGGACGUGGGGAGAGGGGUGCCCUCCGCCUGAGGAGGGGACCCCGUGCGUGGAGGUUCAGCUGCCUCCAGCUCUUCUCCCCGACUUGCUUUCCCGUGCUGUGGAGGAAGGGCACGUCUCCGCAGCUGACAUCUCCCUUGGGCCUGCGCUUGCACCGAGCCGCUGCCAGAACGGGAACUGCAGGCGUCUGUUGAACAACAAAGCAAACGCCCAAGCAUUUCGGGUGUGAUGUCCCCAGCAUUCCAAGGAGAGAUUACGCAGCAGCAGCCCAAACGUCUGGAAUGGCUUCUUUCUAGGAGAGAAGCAAAGCCUUGGCGGAGCCAGAGCAGGAGCUUCUUUCCUGAAGGGAAGAGAACCUCCAGCCAUCGCUAUCCAUCUCCUCCCCGGCCAAAGGCCAAAGGCCAAAAGCCAAAGGCCAAAUCCCAAAUCCCAUAUCCCAAAUCCCCAAUCCCAAAUCCCAAAUCCCAAAUCCCCGCCUCCAUUGCUAACAUCAGAGCACAGCAAGCCGUACGUGUGCAGAAGCAUCCCAGAUUCCUAUGGCUCUGUAGCGGUGCGCUAAAGAGGGCCUCGGUCCUACAGCCUCACGGCAGGAACUUGGCAAACAAGGAGCUUCUCACGGGACUGCUCACUUGCAUCCACUGCCAUCGCAUCCACAGCCCGCAGCCCGCAGCCGUCGGGUGAAGCCCUCAAGAGUACAACGGAGGUCGAGUGCUGAAAGCACGGGAGAGUUCCCGCAGCAACUGCUGCUAACAGCAGACGCUCCCAGCAACUCCAAGGAAGCCCUGAGAGCCCCGAGCCGUGCCCCAGGACCGCUUCCUCUCUCGAUUCACCGCCACCGCCACGGGAAAAGCAGACGGGAAAAGGGCACCGACGAAAGCUGCCGAUCGCGUUCACGACGGAGGCACUGCCGGCACUCGGGAGGACGGGAGAGCCCGGGGCUACUCGGCUCGAAGCGCUUCCCGCCCGCCCCGUUUCCCCACCUGGCAGCGCGGCGGCGGGUCGGCUCCGGGUGCGCUUUCCGGCCCUUCCGGCAGGCGGCGCCACAGCAGUGAACCGCUGGCUUCACUCCGGCAUCGGGCACCGCGUCGCCAACGCGGGCGGCGCCGCGGGAAGAGGCCGCCAGCGGUACGCGAGUACGCGCCGACUGGACGCAGGCGUGCUUAGCGGCGUCGCGGAAAGAAAGCCGGUAGCAACGGCACGCGUUCUAACGGGCGGCGUACCUCCUAGCGAGCCGUCCGUCGGAGAUCGCCGGCAAGCGAGCCGCCUCACGGGAGCGAGCGUGGUCGAGUUAGCGGCGCUCCUCCCCGUGCCAAAGGGAGCUGCUUUGCUCUGAGUCCGCAUUUGCGAGGACGACGAGGACGACGAGGACGACGAGGACGACGAGGAAGGGGCCGGCCGGAGGACGCUCGCGCGUUCACGCGUCUCCAGGGCGCGCGCAGAGCCGUGCGUCACUGCCACCGCACAGCGCCCGCCCGAGCCGCGCGUCGCCGCGGCAACGGCUUCUCCCCUCCUCCUCGCGGCUCCUCCUCUGCCUCUGCCUCUGCCUCUGCCUCUGCCUCUGCCUCUGCCUCUGCCUCUGCCUCUGCCUCUGCCUCUGAUUGUUUAUUCUAUGGAAACAAACAAUAAAUAAACAAACUUCUUGUUUAUUCUAUGGAAAAGUUCUUUUCACAUGUCUAAUUUAUUCCUCAUCUUUGGGGUGCUGAUUCAUUAGAGAACAUUACUGGGGGUCUGACCACAGCAACUCAAAGACCCAAGUCCUGCAUAGAGCACAUCCUACUCUGUUGUUUUAAAUCAGGGGCCGCAAGCACACGGCUUGCAAGGGGGAUCUCUUCCCUGACUCUAAGGAGCAGGGAGAGAAAGCAA